GAAUCUUGCGCAAUGGGCGGAAGCCUGACGCAGCGACGCCGCGUGCGGGAAGAAGGCCUUCGGGUUGUAAACCGCUUUCAGGAGGGACGAAGCCACUCGGGUGAACAGCCCAGAGGGUGACGGUACCUCCAGAAGAAGCCCCGGCUAACUACGUGCCAGCAGCCGCGGUAAUACGUAGGGGGCUAGCGUUGUCCGGAUUUAUUGGGCGUAAAGAGCGUGUAGGCGGCCAGAUAGGUCUGCUGUGAAAACUCGAGGCUCAACCUCGAGCCGUCGGCGGAAACCAUCUGGCUAGAGACCGGAAGAGGAGAGUGGAAUUCCCGGUGUAGCGGUGAAAUGCGCAGAUAUCGGGAAGAACACCUGUGGCGAAGGCGGCUCUCUGGGACGGUACUGACGCUGAGACGCGAAAGCGUGGGGAGCAAAC
Molecule: ribosomal RNA, 421 nt
Filed under: uncultured bacterium
Lineage: Bacteria
Description: bacterial SSU rRNA
Rfam family: Bacterial small subunit ribosomal RNA
Source: RNAcentral